This 516-nucleotide ribosomal RNA is filed under the name uncultured bacterium. Its description in RNAcentral is "partial 16S ribosomal RNA". It matches the Rfam family "Bacterial small subunit ribosomal RNA", at positions 29 to 523 of the family's 1533-position model. The record is from RNAcentral.
AACGAACGCUGGCGGCGUGCCUAACACAUGCAAGUCGAACGGGAUUCGGAGCUUGCUCCGAUGAGAGUGGCGCACGGGUGAGUAACGCGUAGAUAAUCUGCCUGAUGAUCUGGGAUAACAGUUCGAAAGGACUGCUAAUACCGGAUAAGCCCACGGAGACCUUGGUCUUUGCGGGAAAAGGGGGGGACCUUCGGGCCUUCCGUCAUCAGAUGAGUCUGCGUACCAUUAGCUAGUUGGUAGGGUAAAGGCCUACCAAGGCGACGAUGGUUAGCUGGUCUGAGAGGAUGAUCAGCCACACUGGAACUGAGACACGGUCCAGACUCCUACGGGAGGCAGCAGUGGGGAAUUUUGCGCAAUGGAGGAAACCCUGACGCAGCAACGCCGCGUGAGUGAUGAAGGCUCUUGGGUCGUAAAGCUCUGACAGAGGGAAAGAAGUGUAUGGUGGUUAAUACCCAUUGUACUUGACGGUACCCUCAAAGGAAGCACCGGCUAACUCCGUGCCAGCAGCCGCAGUAA